Molecule: long non-coding RNA, 372 nt
Organism: Zingiber officinale
Lineage: Eukaryota; Viridiplantae; Streptophyta; Magnoliopsida; Zingiberales; Zingiberaceae
Exons: 2
Source: RefSeq, a predicted model, not a curated record
CGUACAUGACUCCGUGCGUUGGGGCUCCUACCAGACGCAAAGUGCGGAGAAAGUCAAACGUUUGACGUGCCACAAUAUCCUGUUGCGUAGCGAUCGCUUCGGCUCAUCUUCCUCGACAUCUCCCAUGUCGAGUUCAUCGGAUUCAUCCACCUUCAGCAAAGGCAAUUCCCCGAUCACCCUAGUCGCAACGACAGGCGUAAUUGCAGGGGCUGCGGUACUGAUUGUGGUCAUCAUCUUCAUGGUCAACAGAUGCCUUCGGAGCGCCAAACUGCGUGCGGUUUCUGCAGAGGAGCAAUUAGCCGAGGUCGCGACUCCGAGUUGUCCUCGGUGAUUCAUUCAAUGGAGAUUUAGAUCUUGUACGAGUUCCUCUGG